RNAcentral lists this ribosomal RNA (484 nucleotides) under uncultured bacterium. RNAcentral describes it as "partial 16S ribosomal RNA". It matches the Rfam family "Bacterial small subunit ribosomal RNA", at positions 29 to 507 of the family's 1533-position model. The record is from RNAcentral.
AGUGAACGCUGGCGGCAGGCCUAACACAUGCAAGUCGAGCGGCAGCGCGGGGGCAACCCUGGCGGCGAGCGGCGGACGGGUGAGGAAUUCGUCGGAAUCUGCCUUUUUGUGGGGGAUAACGUAGGGAAACUUACGCUAAUACCGCAUACGUCCUACGGGAGAAAGUGGGGGACCGCAAGGCCUCACGCAGAAAGAUGAGCCGACGACCGAUUAGCUAGUUGGUGGGGUAAAGGCCCACCAAGGCGACGAUCGGUAGCUGGUCUGAGGGGAUGAUCAGCCACACUGGGACUGAGACACGGCCCAGACUCCUACGGGAGGCAGCAGUGGGGAAUAUUGGACCAUGGGCGCAAGCCUGAUCCAGCCAUGCCGCGUGUGUGAAGAAGGCCUUCGGGUUGUAAAGCACUUUUGUCCGGAAAGAAAUCCCUGGAGCUAAUACCUUCGGGGGAUGACGGUACCGGAAGAAUAAGCACCGGCUAACUUCGUG